Molecule: ribosomal RNA, 320 nt
Filed under: uncultured eukaryote
Lineage: Eukaryota
Description: partial 18S ribosomal RNA
Rfam family: Eukaryotic small subunit ribosomal RNA
Source: RNAcentral
CCCCUAGAUGUUCUGGGCUGCACGCGCGCUACACUGAACAGUUCAACAAGUCUUAACCUUGGCCGAUAGGUCUGGGUAAUCUUUGAACGCUGUUCGUGAUUGGGAUAGACCUUUGCAAUUAUGGGUCUUCAACGAGGAAUUCCUAGUAAACGCAAGUCAUCAGCUUGCAUUGAUUACGUCCCUGCCCUUUGUACACACCGCCCGUCGCACCUACCGAUUGAAUGGUCCGGUGAAAUCUCGGGACGGCGGCUUGGUCGCUUGCGUCCGACUGCUGAAACUUGAUUAAACCAUAUCAUUUAGAGGAAGGUGAANUCGUANCA